GACGUAGGGGGCGAGCGUUGUCCGGAUUCAUUGGGCGUAAAGCGCGUGUAGGCGGCCCGGUAAGUCCGCUGUGAAAGUCGGGGGCUCAACCCUCGGAAGCCGGUGGAUACUGUCGGGCUCGAGUACGGAAGAGGCGAGUGGAAUUCCUGGUGUAGCGGUGAAAUGCGCAGAUAUCAGGAGGAACACCGAUUGCGAAGGCAGCUCGCUGGGACGUAACUGACGCUGAGACGCGAAAGCGUGGGGAGCAAACAGG
RNAcentral lists this ribosomal RNA (253 nucleotides) under uncultured bacterium. RNAcentral describes it as "partial 16S ribosomal RNA". It matches the Rfam family "Bacterial small subunit ribosomal RNA", at positions 524 to 776 of the family's 1533-position model. The record is from RNAcentral.